CUAUGAACAAUUAUAAGGUUGUAAUUCAUAAAAGCAUUAACACACAGAGAUAACUGAAUAACGACAAGAUUAAAAUUGAAAUAAUAAGAACCUCAGAAGUUCACANNUAAUCAUAGCAUAGAGUUUGAAGAAAGAAUACAUGAUCAAGAUGAUAUAAAGGUGUUGAAUCUUCCUAUCGGAUGAGUCUCCAGCCCUAGCACUCUCCAAAAUCGUGUUCCUUGGUAUUUUUCUGCUCCCAAUCGACCCCUAGGUCAGUUCUGGAAGCCCCUAUUUAUAGAAAACGCGAAAUCCUGAAUUGCUGUUUGCGGCGCUGCGCGAGGCGCAGCUUUUCCUGCGCGAGGCGCAGCAACCAGAGACGACUUGCAUUUUGUUCAAUCAUUCUGCGCGAGGCGCAGCUUGCUCUGCGCAAGGCGCAGCUUGCAGUGUGAGAAUCUUCCAGUUUUCUUCAUAUAAUUGGCUUGAACAACUAUUAUCUUCAAUAUGCAUCCAAAUCUUCAACUCUUUGCAAAAUGACCUAAAACUUAACAUAAUUGGC
This 535-nucleotide long non-coding RNA is filed under the name Trifolium pratense (red clover). Its description in RNAcentral is "long non-coding RNA (TPRA_LNC006012)". The record is from RNAcentral. Lineage: Eukaryota; Viridiplantae; Streptophyta; Magnoliopsida; Fabales; Fabaceae.